RNAcentral lists this ribosomal RNA (497 nucleotides) under uncultured bacterium. Its description in RNAcentral is "partial 16S ribosomal RNA". It matches the Rfam family "Bacterial small subunit ribosomal RNA", at positions 28 to 507 of the family's 1533-position model. The record is from RNAcentral.
GAUGAACGCUGGCGGCGUGCCUAAUACAUGCAAGUCGAGCGAACGGACGAGAAGCUUGCUUCUCUGAUGUUAGCGGCGGACGGGUGAGUAACACGUGGAUAACCUACCUAUAAGACUGGGAUAACUUCGGGAAACCGGAGCUAAUACCGGAUAAUAUUUUGAACCGCAUGGUUCAAAAGUGAAAGACGGUCUUGCUGCCACUUAUAGAUGGAUCCGCGCUGCAUUAGCCAGUUGGUAAGGUAACGGCUUACCAAGGCAACGAUGCAUAGCCGACCUGAGAGGGUGAUCGGCCACACUGGAACUGAGACACGGUCCAGACUCCUACGGGAGGCAGCAGUAGGGAAUCUUCCGCAAUGGGCGAAAGCCUGACGGAGCAACGCCGCGUGAGUGAUGAAGGUCUUCGGAUCGUAAAACUCUGUUAUUAGGGAAGAACAUAUGUGUAAGUAACUGUGCACAUCUUGACGGUACCUAAUCAGAAAGCCACGGCUAACUACGUG